RNAcentral lists this ribosomal RNA (600 nucleotides) under Triticum aestivum (bread wheat). RNAcentral's name for it is "partial small subunit ribosomal RNA". Lineage: Eukaryota; Viridiplantae; Streptophyta; Magnoliopsida; Poales; Poaceae. The record is from RNAcentral.
AUGAUUGACCUCAAUGAAGUACCAGAGGAAGAUAUGCCAGAGUUUGCCUUUGUUCAUGACAUGAAUAUACUUGAUCCUUUAUAUUGCACACAACAGAGCAACCCACUUGGUGGAGCUGACAAUGCUGAGUUUGUGGCUGAAUCUCCCAACCCUGUUGCCACACACAAUGCUUCGACAAAUGUGGUGCAAACUAUGCCUACAGAUAUGGGUGCAACGGUCGAAGCAACUACACAUCCAGCGGCAGCAACAGAGACGGAUGAACACACACAUUUUGACACUAACACCGCAGGUGGAACAGGUGGGACUGUUGGAAACAGUUUGGCGGGCUUGGUUGGUGAGAACGAUGAUGAGGCAUGGUCACAGCCCAAGGAACCUUACGUGGGGAUGAGGUUUGACACUUUGGAAGGUGCAAAGGAACACUACAAUGCGUAUGCUCUGCAGCUUGGAUUUUCCAUCAAAAUGAAUACAACAAGGAGAACUGGCAACACUAGUAUGUUGGUAAAGCAGAAAUUUGUUUGCAAGAAGUUUCGGAAACCUACAGAGGAUGAUGGAGGUGCAGAAAAGCCCCCUGUCCUAGACAAAAUUGUUGAUCAGGCAUAA